AACACAUGCAAGUCGAGGGGAAACGAUAGAGAAAGCUUGCUUUUUCUAGGCGUCGACCGGCGCACGGGUGAGUAACGCGUAUCCAACCUGCCCAUCACUUGGGGAUAACCUUGCGAAAGUAAGACUAAUACCCAAUGAUAUCUCAAGAAGACAUCUGAAAGGGAUUAAAGAUUUAUCGGUGAUGGAUGGGGAUGCGUCUGAUUAGCUUGUUGGCGGGGUAACGGCCCACCAAGGCGACGAUCAGUAGGGGUUCUGAGAGGAAGGUCCCCCACAUUGGAACUGAGACACGGUCCAAACUCCUACGGGAGGCAGCAGUGAGGAAUAUUGGUCAAUGGGCGAGAGCCUGAACCAGCCAAGUAGCGUGCAGGAAGACGGCCCUAUGGGUUGUAAACUGCUUUUAUAAGGGAAUAAAGUGAGCCUCGUGAGGCUUUUUGCAUGUACCUUAUGAAUAAGGACCGGCUAAUUCCGUGCCAGCAGCCGCAGUAAUACGGAAGGUCCGGGCGUUAUCCGGAUUUAUUGGGUUUAAAGGGAGCGUAGGCCGGAGAUUAAGCGUGUUGUGAAAUGUAGAUGCUCAACAUCUGCACUGCAGCGCGAACUGGUUUCCUUGAGUACGCACAAAGUGGGCGGAAUUCGUGGUGUAGCGGUGAAAUGCUUAGAUAU
Molecule: ribosomal RNA, 660 nt
Filed under: uncultured bacterium
Lineage: Bacteria
Description: bacterial SSU rRNA
Rfam family: Bacterial small subunit ribosomal RNA
Source: RNAcentral